Molecule: long non-coding RNA, 292 nt
Organism: Asparagus officinalis (garden asparagus)
Lineage: Eukaryota; Viridiplantae; Streptophyta; Magnoliopsida; Asparagales; Asparagaceae
Exons: 2
Source: RefSeq, a predicted model, not a curated record
CGUCAAGGACAUUGCGACGCGCUGCCGGAGAUGUGCGGGACUCCCGUGCCGUUUCCUAUUAGCCGCAACGUCGACUGCACCCAGCUCUAGUUUGGGGUCAAGAUGAUGGAGGUGAAAAUAGGGUUUUAAAUUUGAAAGAAGGUUUUCUAUUAAUAAGAGUUGAGAGAGCUUUUAUUGCGUAAGAAUGCAAGUCCACGUGUGUGGGUGUUGGGCUGUGACUGUGAACCCAAUGUUGUGGGCCUUGUAUGAAAUCAGUGAAUAAAUAAAGAAAUUUAUGGUUUCUGCCUGAGAA